RNAcentral lists this ribosomal RNA (323 nucleotides) under uncultured eukaryote. Its description in RNAcentral is "partial 18S ribosomal RNA". It matches the Rfam family "Eukaryotic small subunit ribosomal RNA", at positions 1470 to 1796 of the family's 1831-position model. The record is from RNAcentral.
CCCUUAGAUGUUCUGGGCUGCACGCGUGCUACCCUGAUAUUGCCAAUAUGUCAUUCUUAUCCGAAAUGGAUUGGGUAAUCAAGUAAUGAAAUUUCAUGCUUGGAAUCGGUAAUUGCAAUUUUAUCGUGAACGAGGAAUUCCUAGUAAGCACUAGUCAUCAGCUAAUGUUGAUUAUGUCCCUGCCCUUUGUACACACCGCCCGUCGCUACUACUGAUUGGGUGUUCAAGUGAGAUGCUUAGACCCUUGUUGCAUGGUUCAUUAUUGUGCUCCGAAAGGAAAAAGUUUCAAGCUUGAGUGUCUAGAGGAAGUAAAAGUCGUAACA